RNAcentral lists this ribosomal RNA (500 nucleotides) under uncultured bacterium. Its description in RNAcentral is "partial 16S ribosomal RNA". It matches the Rfam family "Bacterial small subunit ribosomal RNA", at positions 30 to 523 of the family's 1533-position model. The record is from RNAcentral.
AUUGAACGCUGGCGGCAGGCCUAACACAUGCAAGUCGAGCGGAUGACGGGAGCUUGCUCCUUGAUUCAGCGGCGGACGGGUGAGUAAUGCCUAGGAAUCUGCCUGGUAGUGGGGGACAACGUUUCGAAAGGAACGCUAAUACCGCAUACGUCCUACGGGAGAAAGCAGGGGACCUUCGGGCCUUGCGCUAUCAGAUGAGCCUAGGUCGGAUUAGCUAGUUGGUGGGGUAAUGGCUCACAAAGGCGACGAUCCGUAACUGGUCUGAGAGGAUGAUCAGUCACACUGGAACUGAGACACGGUCCAGACUCCUACGGGAGGCAGCAGUGGGGAAUAUUGGACAAUGGGCGAAAGCCUGAUCCAGCCAUGCCGCGUGUGUGAAGAAGGUCUUCGGAUUGUAAAGCACUUUAAGUUGGGAGGAAGGGCAGUAAGUUAAUACCUUGCUGUUUUGACGUUACCGGCAGAAUAAGCACCGGCUAACUCUGUGCCAGCCGCCGCCGUAA